RNAcentral lists this ribosomal RNA (255 nucleotides) under uncultured bacterium. Its description in RNAcentral is "partial 16S ribosomal RNA". It matches the Rfam family "Bacterial small subunit ribosomal RNA", at positions 524 to 777 of the family's 1533-position model. The record is from RNAcentral.
UACGAAGGGGGGCUAGCGUUGCUCGGAAUCACUGGGCGUAAAGGGUGCGUAGGCGGGUCUUUAAGUCAGGGGUGAAAUCCUGGAGCUCAACUCCAGAACUGCCUUUGAUACUGAGGAUCUUGAGUUCGGGAGAGGUGAGUGGAACUGCGAGUGUAGAGGUGAAAUUCGUAGAUAUUCGCAAGAACACCAGUGGCGAAGGCGGCCAACUGGUCCGGUACUGACGCUGAGGUGCGAAAGCGUGGGGAGCAAACAGGG